This 404-nucleotide ribosomal RNA is filed under the name uncultured prokaryote. RNAcentral's name for it is "bacterial SSU rRNA". It matches the Rfam family "Bacterial small subunit ribosomal RNA", at positions 355 to 774 of the family's 1533-position model. The record is from RNAcentral.
UUGGGAAUCUUGCACAAUGGGGAAAACCCUGAUGCAGCGACGCCGCGUGGAGGAUGACGGGUCUAGGCCUGUAAACUCCUUUUAUCAGGAAAGACUUAGGACGGUACCUGAUGAAUAAGCACCGGCUAACUACGUGCCAGCAGCCGCGGUAAGACGUAGGGUGCAAGCGUUGUCCGGAUUUACUGGGCGUAAAGAGCGCGUAGGCGGUCUGCUAAGUGAGAAGUGAAAUCUCCAGGGCUCAACCCGGAAAUUGCUUUUCAUACUGACAGACUGGAGGAGUGCAGAGGUAUGUGGAAUUCCUGGUGUAGCGGUGAAAUGCGUUGAUAUCAGGAGGAACACCCAUGGCGAAGGCAGCAUACUGGGCACUAUCUGACGCUGAGGCGCGAAAGCGUGGGUAGCAAACA